AUUCCAUGAUGAGGGCACGUUCAUAAUAAUUUUUUGUACCUUUAUCAUGCCUCAUACAAGGACUCGUCAUCCAUUUGUUGCAAAGUAGUGACCUUGUUCCUUAACUU
This is a non-coding RNA of Gossypium hirsutum (cotton), 107 nucleotides long. The record is from Rfam. NCBI's taxonomy places the organism in Eukaryota, Viridiplantae, Streptophyta, Magnoliopsida, Malvales, Malvaceae.